CACCGCGGUUAUACGAGAGACCCAAGUUGACAGACAAUCGGCGUAAAGAGUGGUUAAGUACCAUACCCUACUAAAGCCAAACACCUUCAAAGCUGUUAUACGCACCCGAAGGUUAGAAGCCCAAUCACGAAAGUGGCUUUAAACUUACUGAACCCACGAAAGCUAGGGCA
This 170-nucleotide ribosomal RNA is filed under the name Acanthurus triostegus (convict surgeonfish). RNAcentral describes it as "partial small subunit ribosomal RNA". Lineage: Eukaryota; Metazoa; Chordata; Actinopteri; Acanthuriformes; Acanthuridae. The record is from RNAcentral.